AUUGAACGCUGGCGGAAUGCUUUACACAUGCAAGUCGAACGGCAGCACGGACUUCGGUCUGGUGGCGAGUGGCGAACGGGUGAGUAAUGUAGCGGAACGUGCCCAGUCGUGGGGGAUAACGUAGUGAAAAUUACGCUAAUACCGCAUACGAGCUAUGGAUGAAAGCGGGGGAUCGCAAGACCUCGCGCGAUUGGAGCGGCCGAUAUCAGAUUAGGUAGUUGGUGGGGUAAAGGCCCACCAAGCCAACGAUCUGUAGCUGGUCUGAGAGGACGACCAGCCACACUGGAACUGAGACACGGUCCAGACUCCUACGGGAGGCAGCAGUGGGGAAUUUUGGACAAUGGGCGAAAGCCUGAUCCAGCCAUUCCGCGUGCAGGAUGAAGGCCCUCGGGUUGUAAACUGCUUUUGUACAGAACGAAAAGGUUUCAACUAAUACUAGGAGCUCAUGACGGUACUGUAAGAAUAAGCACCGGCUAACUACGUGCCAGCCGCCGCCGUAA
This 500-nucleotide ribosomal RNA is filed under the name uncultured bacterium. RNAcentral describes it as "partial 16S ribosomal RNA". It matches the Rfam family "Bacterial small subunit ribosomal RNA", at positions 30 to 523 of the family's 1533-position model. The record is from RNAcentral.